GACGAACGCUAGCGACAGGCUUAACACAUGCAAGUCGAGGGGCAGCAUAAAAGUAGCAAUACUUUGGUGGCGACCGGCGCACGGGUGAGUAACGCGUAUGCAACCUACCUAUCAGAGGGGAAUAACCCGGCGAAAGUCGGACUAAUACCGCAUAAAACAGGGGCACCGCAUGGUGAUAUUUGUUAAAGAAAUUCGCUGAUAGAUGGGCAUGCGUUCCAUUAGGUAGUUGGUGAGGUAACGGCUCACCAAGCCGACGAUGGAUAGGGGAACUGAGAGGUUGGUCCCCCACACUGGUACUGAGACACGAACCAGACUCCUACGGGAGGCAGCAGUGAGGAAUAUUGGUCAAUGGGCGGGAGCCUGAACCAGCCAAGUCGCGUGAAGGGAGAGGGAUCUAUGGUUCGUAAGCUUCUUUUGCAGGGGAAUAAAGUGCAGGACGUGUCCUGUUUUGUAUGUACCCUGAGAAUAAGGAUCGGCUAACUCCGUGCCAGCCGCCGCCGUAA
This 503-nucleotide ribosomal RNA is filed under the name uncultured bacterium. RNAcentral's name for it is "partial 16S ribosomal RNA". It matches the Rfam family "Bacterial small subunit ribosomal RNA", at positions 28 to 523 of the family's 1533-position model. The record is from RNAcentral.